CGCCCUUGGGUCGACAACAGCCGCGCGUACGCGCGAAUCAACCGUGCAAUGAACACGACGAUGAGCCGACCGCGAGAAUGAUAUUUGUUGUUGCGCCGCAAUCCGACGGUCUACGGGUGGCGUAUGUGCCCCGAAGCCACGCGGUAUUAUAUCCGCGCGAACGAUCGUCGGAUUCGACGGUACGCACGGCCUCGACCGUUUUUUUCGGACACGAGACCGAUUCCGCGCGGCACAUUAUAUUAUAUCGGACUAUUAUCAAGCACAAUAUGUCGAAUAUAAUAUAAUAUUAUUGCUUUUUUUUUUUUUUUUUUUUUAAAUUUGUUUAUUAUUAUUAUUUUUUUAUUGUCGUCGCUGCAUUGUCGUAGUUUCAACACGCUCCCAGAGUGGUUUCCGCGUUCCGCGAUCUUUUUGUGUCGUUUCGGUUUUCGGAGAGAACACAAUAAUAAUAAUAUUUUCCGUAUAUACAGGGUAAUCGUACGGUGCAAUACUCGAACUUUGCCAUUGACAAUAAACACGCGGAUUCGACGGGGACAUUUUUGUCGCGCUAUACCCGAACUAUUCCUAGACACAGACCCACUAGAAACAACAAUAGAUUUAUCAAUAAAUCGCUCGGGGAAGGCGACGAAAAAAUAUUAUUAUUUUUGAAUUAAAAAAAAAAAAAAAAAACCGUUCCUGCCCGUGUCUUAUACAAAUACACAAAACAAAAAUUUUGCGCUUUUCGUGUUAAAACGUUAAAACGAAAGUUUCAAGUCAAAAACAACAAUACUUUAUUGAGGGGAAAAACUUGGUAACAUUUUGUUUUAUUAUUAUUUUUUUUUUUGAAUUUUAGAACUUUAAUUUAAUUAUAAUUUCGUUUACAACGUGUUGUGUAUUGAUUCUAAUGAAUUACUAUUUUUAUUUUCAACGGUUUUAGCUCAAGACCUUAUUAUAGCGUUUAACUUACACGAUGUUUGCCCUUUGUGAUUUUGACUAAACGAUAUCGCGUUCGGACGGUAAGUCUUUGGUUUUCCCCCGUCAUUACACAAGAAUAUUUCUCACGAAAUACCGCUCGUACAGUAUCACUAAUAUGAUCACCAAACGCAUUUCCGAACGUCUUGAUAACGUAACCAUACGGACGCAUACCCCUGUGAAAUACAGUGGUACCGUUCGACGCGGCUUGAAUCCGCGUACAGAACCGACGUAGAAAUUGAAAAUGGCAGAAAACGUUGUUCCCCGAGAACCCCGUCCAAUAAAAGGGGCAUUGUCGUCGUCGAUUGUAAUGAUUUCGACGGACGUUGUUUAUUCCAAUCAUCGAAUAUUCGAGUAACCGGACGCGUUCCGAGGAAACUUUGCACGCGCGCGCGUUAUUCCGGUCGACGCGCAUAAAAUGUCAACAACACAUUAAACCGCAGUGUCGUUUUUCAAUUGGGUUUGUUUUUUUCUCGCCCCGCCGGCGCCGAUCGGCGGACGUACGAUUACCGAAGAAUUUACCGUUGUAAUCGCGUAAUCGCGAAUAAACUUACAACGUAAUUCGUGUGAAAUACUACGCCGUUUGGCGUUUGUGUGUUCCGAGUGCGGCUCGCAUCGUACGCCGGCGCGUGCGUUUUGCCCACGACGACGGCGCGGCGCGGCGCCGUGGCCGGGAUUUUUUGUUUUUUUUUGCGUUUAACUCUUUGAUAGACUUUAUUGCGCGAAGACGGGCGCACAACACAAACGUCAUCUGCGUCCGCGCGUACGGUAAAAAUAUGACGAUUUUCAACAUAAAUAACGGCCGUAGUGUGGCCAUUUGAACGGGUAAAAACAUCUCUACCCUCGCCCUCGCCACGCCGCCGCCGGCGUAGUGCGAACCUUCGCGGGUUUUAACGGCGGCGCGGGUCAUUGUGAACAUUUCGACGGCGAUAACAGUGCGGGCGUUUUGUGCACGCUCGAUCUCGCAUAGCGUUUAUCGGCUAUCGCACCGACGAUACGUUACGACCGUACGGGCAAUUAUCAUUACACGUUGCACGGUCCGCAGCAGCCGGUACGAUCGCGGAGGAGUGUGGCGUUGCCGGAUCAAUCAUCGAACACCGUUUCGCGUGGACCUUACGCGUUUCUAACGUUUUACGGCGAGUUUUACGCGUCGUAUACAACUACGUAUUAAACGGCGACAGUCGUGAAAAAACACCGAACGCCGGAUGUGUUUCGUACGCAGCGAGCGCGGAAAUAACCGAAACAACAAUAAUCGUUCCCGUUUAAAGCACACUAUACGCGUCCGCAUAUUAUCACGGAUGAAAACAGAUCCAUCGCAUGCGCGCGAUAAUAUCAUAACCGCUCGCGGCGAACGUCGAAGCGCGCGAGCCACGGUACCGAAUCCAACGUAAACGCGCGUAUUGGUAUUGUUUUCAAACCCGCCGAACUACCCGGACUACACGCUAAUAAAAUAUAAUGUUGUGCGGGAAAAAAAAUACUCUGUUCACCGAGCGGAGGACGUCGCGUACGCGCGUCACGGUGCGCGUACGGUUUUGACGAAUCGCAUUUCGGAUAGUAUUAUUGAUUAACGAGCGCGCCGAGAUGCCGGCCAAUCGACGCGCGGUGUGCCCGCCAAAUUAAAUACUAUGACCAUAAGGAAUACCCGUGACGUGUAAUGAUACCUAUUUACCAGACCUACCGUUACAGUAGUCAGCCGCCCGAAAAAUACGAAACAAACCGCGUGCGGGCGUUUCGGCCGACGGUGAUUAAUAUUCACGUGUACGACGCGAUCGAAUAUCGCGCGAUAAAAAUCGCACGGGUCGGACACGCUUCGCGCGCCGCCGCGGGCCGGUGGCGGGUAUCUGCGGUAAGAGGAGCGGGGCGAUUGAUAAAAUACUCCCCCCCCCUCCCCCUCCGCAAUCUCGGAGUUUUCGUCGUUCAACGUUAGUGCCCCGCGUUGCCGUUGCACAACAUAACGGUUUCUGUGGUUUGGUAUUGAAGUUUCAAAAUCGGUGCGUGACCGUUACCGGUACGGGCAGGCCGCCGCGGCAGUCGUCGGCGUGCAGACGACGGGUUUCGGAAGAUUCGGGCUUUUCUACGGGGCCGUUGAGUUUUUCGAAAACGUACGGAACCGGCGGAGUGGGGCGUGUGUUUAGCGACGGUCCGAAUCGCAGCCAUAAGACAAAAAGAAAAACGCCGACAACAAUUAUGCCGCCGACGACGUAACCAUACCACCUUGUCACUUGUUGUCGGCGUUUAUUCUUCUUGUUGUUUAAAUUUCAAGACGAACCGUCCGGACGUCUUUAGAAUUAUUUUUCAAGUGCCGGACGCGAUCGUUUACACGAGCGAGUUUUUCGUGAAUUUUGUUCGACGCGAAAUCGAAUUUCGUAUUGUAAUUUUUCCUAUAAACGGGGCGCGGCGACAACGUCCGGUAUUCGUAAAUGUUUUUAAUUAUUUCGCUUAUUGGACAAUAAAAUAAUUAGUGUUUUUUUUUUUUUUUUUUUUUUUUUUUUAACGCUUAUACGAACCGUGCAUAAACGACAAUGGCGUUGCGUUUUCGGUAAGUACGGUUUUUUUUUUUUGUUUUCACCUCCUGUCCCAAAUAACGAAUACCUACGUAUAAUGUAAUUAGUCGGUCGAAAAGCGGUUAUGCAACUUUACUAUAUCUACGCUGUAACGACUGCAUUGACUGCCACUGCUCCGAAAUCGUUUAGCAAUAAAUCGCUAACGAAUCAGGAAAAUAGUAAUAAUAAUAAUAAAUAAAAAAAACCAUAAUAUUUCAUUACUGAAACGCACGGCAAUCGAAUUGCGUGCGGGAAAUUUGUGCGUUUCGUAUCGUGACUGGUGCCUUCGCAUAAUAUUAUAUUUCACUUAUUCGAUUUUAUUUGCAUAAUAUAAUAUCGAUAGUGUUUGCGGGGAGCUCCGGGACAAAACAAAAUCGAUGAUAAUAAUAUUUUUUAUAACCCAACGUUCCUCCGCCUUGUCGCGGAUUUGCACGUCUUCUAAACAACACGACCGGCAAAUUAUUGGUUAGCCCGCCGUUUUUUUAAGGAGUCGCGUAUAGGCAAUAUCAAUUGGGCAGCUACUAUUAACAGAUUUGUUCAAUUUACACGAGAAUGACACGAAAUAUUUCCAUAAAUUGAACGGACGGCGACGUUGAAAGAUAAACGUUCAAAGGUUCUCGCACGACUAGAAACCGAGGCGAUUCCUGUCUUUUACAUUAUUCAAGUGAAACCCGGCGAGUCGCGGAUUCACGGUUUUGUUUUCGUUUUUUUUUUUUUUUUUGUAAAAUCAUAACGCAAACGAAAACGGAAACGUUUCAUGACGAUCGAAUGGCGUUAAUAAUUAUGGUGUGCUUCAGCAAUCGAGAUUCGGCGUUUUCAUCCGGAAUUGUUUUUUUUUUUUUUUUUAAUCGAGAGGAAUUUCGAUCCGCUCAUUGAAAGACGGUGGAAAAAUUGUUCGGCAAUCGCCAAUCUAAUUCCGUUCAUUAAUUUUCAACAAUACGGUAUUGGGGUAUCAUAGUAAAAUAAUAAUAUUAUCGUCGGUUCUUUCGUCGGCCCCUGGAAAACGGACGCGGAACGCAACCGAACGCGCGUGUACGCGUGCGUGUCGUUCGCCCGUACACGGCGCGGCGGCUGCGUACCGGAUUAAAGUUAUAAACACCGGCGAGCGUGGCGCGCCCUCGCGGCCCAGUCGUCAGGCCCGAACGAAAGUGAACCGCAAACGGUAGGUACACGCGCGCCAAUUUCGACAAUUUCGUCUUCGGUAUUAUUGCGCAACGCUGUCGCUGCAGUAAUAUUUUAAUCACAAAAGUUUAUCGAUUGUAGCGGUCGCGAGCGUCCUUUGCCCCGGGAUAUGGUCCGGAUUUCGUUGUCAAUAGCCAACGAGCGUAAUCGAAAAAACCUUACUGCUAAUCGCGCGGUCUCGGGAUCCGACUACCGGGCCACCCUGUAUAAAAAAUAUUAUCGCGUACUAUACGGGCGUAAUAGGUAUCAUUAUCGUUAUUAUUAUUAACAUUACGAUCGUUGUUUAAGGCCGCGUGCCGGACUUUCGACGCGCGAUAAAUAACGCGGUUUAUACCGCGCGAGAUACAGAUACCACGUGCGUUGUGAGCGGUUAUUACCGUCGACGACGACGACGACGACGUACAAGCCGCGCACGAUCCCCGUCCGGUCAAGGUGGUCGACAUAUUAUUAUUAUUAAUAUUGUUACGUUCUUAUAUUUUUCGGAGACGACCUCGGUGGCGAUCCGGUAUAUAAAACGUACGGGUACAUAGCAGAUACGCGCACACGCGCGAUGGCACGCUCGCGGUCGUUCGCGCAGGGAUCCGAGAGCCGAAAACGCCUCGUCACGAUAAAAUGUGAAAAAAAAGACGUCCGAAUGGGUGUAAAUACCUAGGGGGGAAGGGGAGGGCGAGAAAUAACAAGAAAAGGUCGGCUAGGACCGCGAAAACCAUUAAGAGCGUCGGCGGCGAUGACUCGCGGAAUACGUCCGCAGCGGGAAUUCGGAUCUUUGUUAUUUUGUUACGGAGAUUACGACGGUAAUAUCCGAUCGAUAUCCGCGGGUUACUCGAAAUCCAGAGGAGUUCAUUGAAUUUUAUACAAUAUUACCAGCAAUACGUCAAUACGACGAUUAAUGAAAACAAAAAAAAGCUAAUGUUACCUACGCCACUGUUUUAGAGUGAUUCGAUGCGAGAAUAAACCGUUUCUGACGAAAAACGAUUCUGAGCAGUUUUGUUUUUUUAUCUGUUGCCAAGGUUGACAGGGAGAGAAAGCAACAGAAAUUAUACCAAUAAUUGCCAAUAUUUCAAUAAAAAAAUAAAUAAUUUCUUCAACGAACAAACUAGAUCGAAAAGUGGUUUACACGCAGCAAAAUCACACAUUAUAUAGUUAAACAUCCGUCACUUCACUCAGAAUCUAAAAAUGUUUUGUAAAUUUCGUGUUCACAUAAUAAAAUCGACUGCAUAUACGGAUAAUCGGAUUUGUCUGUUCGUUGUACAUAUAAAAUAAUAUGCGAGAAUAAUUUUCUCUACAACCGAAAUAAUCAAACCGCGAAUUACGCCAAAAAGUGAAGUCGUCCGGUUAUCGCACGAAACCUUUCAAUCAUUGUUUCCGACGAGAAAAAAAUUCAAAAUUCCGCGAAAUGGACUACAUUUUUUUUUUUAACGCGAAAAUAUACAAGUACCGAUGAUUUGGCCAUAUUUUCGGACAUUUAUCGGUAAUCAUUCACAAUUCGCCUCGUUUAUACCAUAUUACAUAAUAAUAAUAAUAAUAAUAAUAUUCCGUUUGAAUAAAACAAUUGAAAUC
Non-coding RNA from Cinara cedri, 6233 nucleotides. The record is from the annotation of a GenBank genome assembly. NCBI's taxonomy places the organism in Eukaryota, Metazoa, Arthropoda, Insecta, Hemiptera, Aphididae.